GAUGAACGCUGGCGGCGUGCCUAAUACAUGCCAGUCGAGCGAACAGAUGAGGAGCUUGCUCCUCUGACGUUAGCGGCGGACGGGUGAGUAACACGUGGAUAACCUACCUAUAAGACUGGGAUAACUUCGGGAAACCGGAGCUAAUACCGGAUAAUAUAUUGAACCGCAUGGUUCAAUAGUGAAAGACGGUUUUGCUGUCACUUAUUGAUGGAUCCGCGCCGCAUUAGCUAGUUGGUAAGGUAACGGCUUACCAAGGCAACGAUGCGUAGCCGACCUGAGAGGGUGAUCGGCCACACUGGAACUGAGACACGGUACAGACUCCUACGGGAGGCAGCAGUAGGGAAUCUUCCGCAAUGGGCGAAAGCCUGACGGAGCAACGCCGCGUGAGUGAUGAAGGUCUUCGGAUCGUAAAACUCUGUUAUUAGGGAAGAACAAAUGUGUAAGUAACUAUGCACGUCUUGACGGUACCUAAUCAGAAAGCCACGGCUAACUACGUG
RNAcentral lists this ribosomal RNA (497 nucleotides) under uncultured bacterium. RNAcentral's name for it is "partial 16S ribosomal RNA". It matches the Rfam family "Bacterial small subunit ribosomal RNA", at positions 28 to 507 of the family's 1533-position model. The record is from RNAcentral.